GGCGUGCCUAAUACAUGCAAGUCGAACGCACUCUCGUUUAGAUUGAAGGAGCUUGCUCCUGAUUGAUAAACAUUUGAGUGAGUGGCGGACGGGUGAGUAACACGUGGGUAACCUGCCCUAAAGUGGGGGAUAACAUUUGGAAACAGAUGCUAAUACCGCAUAAAACCUAACACCGCAUGGUGUAGGGUUGAAAGAUGGUUUCGGCUAUCACUUUAGGAUGGACCCGCGGUGCAUUAGUUAGUUGGUGAGGUAAAGGCUCACCAAGACCGUGAUGCAUAGCCGACCUGAGAGGGUAAUCGGCCACACUGGGACUGAGACACGGCCCAGACUCCUACGGGAGGCAGCAGUAGGGAAUCUUCCACAAUGGACGAAAGUCUGAUGGAGCAACGCCGCGUGAGUGAAGAAGGUUUUCGGAUCGUAAAACUCUGUUGUUGGAGAAGAAUGUAUCUGAUAGUAACUGAUCAGGUAGUGACGGUAUCCAACCAGAAAGCCACGGCUAACUACGUG
RNAcentral lists this ribosomal RNA (507 nucleotides) under uncultured bacterium. Its description in RNAcentral is "bacterial SSU rRNA". It matches the Rfam family "Bacterial small subunit ribosomal RNA", at positions 41 to 507 of the family's 1533-position model. The record is from RNAcentral.